This 253-nucleotide ribosomal RNA is filed under the name uncultured bacterium. RNAcentral's name for it is "partial 16S ribosomal RNA". It matches the Rfam family "Bacterial small subunit ribosomal RNA", at positions 524 to 776 of the family's 1533-position model. The record is from RNAcentral.
UACGUAGGGUGCAAGCGUUACUCGGAAUUACUGGGCGUAAAGCGUGCGCAGGCGGUCCUGCAAGACAGAUGUGAAAUCCCCGGGCUUAACCUGGGAACUGCAUUUGUGACUGCAAGGCUGGAGUACGGUAGAGGGGGAUGGAAUUCCGCGUGUAGCAGUGAAAUGCGUAGAUAUGCGGAGGAACACCGAUGGCGAAGGCAAUCCCCUGGACCUAUACUGACACUCAUGCACGAAAGCUUCCAUAGCAAACAGG